This 511-nucleotide ribosomal RNA is filed under the name bacterium 38-L049641-122-013-F05. Its description in RNAcentral is "bacterial SSU rRNA". It matches the Rfam family "Bacterial small subunit ribosomal RNA", at positions 60 to 553 of the family's 1533-position model. The record is from RNAcentral.
AGUCGAGCGAACGGAUAAGGAGCUUGCUCCUUUGAAGUUAGCGGCGGACGGGUGAGUAACACGUGGGUAACCUACCUAUAAGACUGGAAUAACUUCGGGAAACCGGAGCUAAUGCCGGAUAACAUUUGGAACCGCAUGGUUCUAAAGUAAAAGAUGGUUUUGCUAUCACUUAUAGAUGGACCCGCGCCGUAUUAGCUAGUUGGUAAGGUAACGGCUUACCAAGGCAACGAUACGUAGCCGACCUGAGAGGGUGAUCGGCCACACUGGAACUGAGACACGGUCCAGACUCCUACGGGAGGCAGCAGUAGGGAAUCUUCCGCAAUGGACGAAAGUCUGACGGAGCAACGCCGCGUGAGUGAUGAAGGUUUUCGGAUCGUAAAACUCUGUUAUUAGGGAAGAACAAAUGUGUAAGUAACUGUGCACAUCUUGACGGUACCUAAUCAGAAAGCCACGGCUAACUACGUGCCAGCAGCCGCGGUAAUACGUAGGUGGCAAGCGUUAUCCGGAAUUA